Molecule: unclassified non-coding RNA, 332 nt
Filed under: soil metagenome
Description: partial contains 5.8S ribosomal RNA, internal transcribed spacer 2, and large subunit ribosomal RNA
Rfam family: 5.8S ribosomal RNA (bases 1-120)
Source: RNAcentral
GAUGAAGAACGUAGCGAAAUGCGAUAAGUAAUGUGAAUUGCAGAAUUCAGUGAAUCAUCGAAUCUUUGAACGCACAUUGCGCCCGCCAGUAUUCUGGCGGGCAUGCCUGUUCGAGCGUCAUUUCAACCAUCAAGCCCCCGGCUUGUGUUGGGGACCUGCGGCUGCCGCAGGCCCUGAAAACCAGUGGCGGGCUCGCUAGUCACUCCGAGCGUAGUAAUACAUCUCGCUCAGGGCGUGCUGCGGGUUCCGGCCGUUAAAAGCCUUAUUUACCCAAGGUUGACCUCGGAUCAGGUAGGAAGACCCGCUGAACUUAAGCAUAUCAAUAAGCGGGG